RNAcentral lists this ribosomal RNA (407 nucleotides) under uncultured bacterium. Its description in RNAcentral is "partial 16S ribosomal RNA". It matches the Rfam family "Bacterial small subunit ribosomal RNA", at positions 30 to 526 of the family's 1533-position model. The record is from RNAcentral.
AUUGAACGCUGGCGGCAGGCCUAACACAUGCAAGUCGAGCGGAGCGGCGGACGGGUGAGUAAUGCCUAGGAAUCUGCCUGGUAGUGGGGGACAACGUCCGGAAACGGGCGCUAAUACCGCAUACUAUGAGAUGAGCCUAGGUCGGAUUAGCUAGUUGGUGGGGUAAAGGCCUACCAGGGCGACGCUCCGUAACUGGUAUGAACGGAUGAUCAGUCACACUGGAACGGAGACACGGUCCAGACGCCGACGAGAGGCAGAAGUGGGGAAUAGUGGACAAUGGGCGAAAGCAGGAUCCAGCCAUGCCGCGUGUGUGAAGAAGGUCGUCGGAUUGUAAAGCACAUUAAGUUGUGAGGCGUUACCAACAGAAUAAGCACCGACUAACUUCGUGCCAGCCGCCGCGGUAAUUC